GUGAAAAUACCUUAAAGAAAUGAAGACAAAAUAAAGACUUUUUAGACAUAAAAAAGAAGAAAGAAUUUGUCACCAGCAGAUCCAUGUUCCAAACAAUGUUAAAGGAAACCUAUCAAGCAGAAAGAAAAAUGAUGCCAGAUGGAAAUAUGGAUCUAUGCCAAGGAAUGAAGAACACUGGAAAUGGGUGUAACAUAGCUCAGAUGAGGAACUUCAGUUGAGAGAGCCUGGCUGGAGCCUUAGGGGGUAAACUCAAGUGCCUCUGGGUGACUCAGAUUGGACAGGAAUCUUAUGGAGUCAUCUUCACCUGUAUUUCCAGUGCUUGGGCUGGGUGACUUAAAAGGCUAGGCUCAGUGAAGGCUGUCGACAAAAACACCAACAUACGGCCUCACCAUGUGGCUUGGACUUCUUCUCAGUAGGGCAGCUUCAGGGUUGUUGGAAGAGCAAGUGUCCCAAUGAAUGAGGGAGAAGCUACAUGGCCUUUUAUGACCCAGCCUCAGAAGUCAUGUGGUAUAUCUUCCACCAUCUCCUAUUAGUUGAAGACGUAAACCCUAGCCAGCUUCCAGAAGAGGGGACAUGGACCCCAUCUCUUGAUGGCAAGUUUCAAAGAAUUUUGAGGUGAUGUAUUAAAACCACUAAAAAUCUUCAGAAAUAGGAGGCAGCAUAUACUACUCUUCGAAAUACUGCUCUGACCCAUUUAUUGGGUGACUUGGAAGGCUGCCAGUUUUGAGUGCCAGAGCAAGAUCUGCAGCAGGUCUGGGCUGUGGUACAAGUGGUCCUGUCACUCAGGCCACAUAACCAGCAGAGCUAAUGGUGCUAUUUAUUGCAAAUAAAGAUGUGUGUGUAGUCUCUGCCAAACCCAAUAAGGGGAGUUGCAGCACAGAUCCUAGAGUCCCAGAGUCCUUCCUUCUGCAGCAGAAAACUAUAAACAACUUGAAAAACAGCUCCUGAGCCCUGAUAGAGAUGGAGCCUGACUACAGGACAUCAGGUGACCAUGUGGCCAGAACUGCCCAUUAUGUGCUGGGUAUUAUCAGACAGACAAUGUUGGGCACGCACAGCAGGAAUGUGUCAUGCAAUGGAAACAGUUCACUGGGGUGUGGGCCAGAAGGUAUACAGAGGGCACAAGUAAAUUCCACCUGCCUCAGAUUCCCGUGUUAUCUACCUGCUUCCCUCAGUUCAUACGUAAGGCCUUAUAAUUUACUACAAUCAACCAAGGGGAAAAAAACUUGGACCUAGCUCACCUCAACCUUGUCCGGGUUGCCCUGACAAGUUGGUGCUAACAAAAAAUGGGCCUCCAUCAGACUACAGCCUCAUUCUGGGUGGCCCUGAAGGACAGUGGAGGUCACUCCUCGCCGUGAGCAGAGCUGUAAACAAUGCACUGGUUCACUCACUUUGAGGGCAGGAGAAGCAGUCUGUGUUAAUGGUAUAUCUGGACCCAUGGGCAGUGGCGAAUGGCUUGCUGGUUGGGUCAGGAGCCUCAAAGGAGCAAACUUAAAGUUUGGAGACAAGGAGAUAAAGUGUGGAGAAAAUUAUGUAGAUGGAUCUAUGGUCCUGGAGACAUAGCACACGGAUCUCUGGCUCAUAUCCAGGCCCACCAGAGCACCUCCCCUGCAGGUACAGCACAGAACCACUAGGUGGACAGGAUUUUCCUGAGGAUGCCAGCCAGCCUCUCUCCCUAGCAGCUCCAGAACUUGCAUGACAGAGGGGACAUGGAGCAGGGAUAUAGGAUCUGCAUGGCCCCAGCAGCAUGAGUGCCAUCUCACCAAGACCAGACUAGCAACUGCUAUACUGAAUAUGUGCCUGUCACCAGAGAGACUGACACAGAACACUCCAUAUGGCAUGCAUCCCUGAAGGACGCCAGCCAGUCACUUGGUGGUAGGUUUUUUCCACCAGAUGCCCUCUAUCCCACAGGGAGCAGUGACUUAGCCUUACCAGAAACGGAUCUGGGUUUGCCUUCUUUGACCCAGUGCCUCUGCCUGCACCACCAUCAACUGAACCAUUCUGACAUAUAGGCACACCCGGAUUUUUGAGGAGUUAACAUUACAGGGGCAACACUUGACCAUUUGGUGCCAGGAGACAGGAAAUGAUACUCUCUUCCAUUCCUUGAGAGGACAGUCCUCAAAGGUCCAAGAAGGAUGGAGCCCCAUUUGACCACCAUAGAAACCAUCUCAACAAAGCACCUUGGGCUGGCUUUCCCUCCAUCUUGCUUGACAUCUUUUAGUCUCCCAUUCCUGGUGCCUGUGUUUCCCAAAUAAACCACUUGCCUCACCCUCCUUUCUCAGGCUUUACCAUCUGAGAGAACCUGGGAUAAGACGCUCUGAGACCUAUUCACAAAACAUACUUUUCCUGUGAAGUGAGAAGUCCCUGUGUUGUGAUUUAAGCAAUCUCUACUCACAUGGCACCAUUGGUUUUUUUGUUAGUUUGCUUACUCUCUUGUUUUGAGGUAAAAAAGAGUUUAGAGAACACAAAAAAUCAGUUUCCCGCUGAGGUAUUGUAGAUUCUGCCAAUGGAUGAGACACCCAUCACACUGACCUUCAGGUGGGCUGUGCAGGUGGUGCCCUGCACAGGGGGCUUGGCUGAGGAGUAGGUGGCCUUCUUUCACUAAGCAGAGCCCCCUGGCACAGGCCGCAUCUGCCCAGAGGAAGGGGAGCCUAUUCCUAAUUCCCAGAAAGGACUGUCAGCUCACUAAGCCAUGUGCCUGAGAGGCACUUCCCCCCAAGAAGGGCACAUUUUCUAAUGAGCAGAAAAUCAUCCUAUGGGCAGCAGAGUUUCAGCCUCCACCCUACUCUACGUCUGCCAUUCAGCUCUUGAUGCCACCACAUUUGGUUCCGAUCUAAGAGCAUUUUCCUGAUUAAUUAAAGACUCAGAACACAACUCACCACAUAUUUUAAAGUUGUAGGUCCAGAGCUAGUGAGAAAAACAUAGUUUUGAAGUUGGAAGGAACUUCAGAAAUUAUCUAAGGCCAGGCCAACCCCUCUGUUUGACAAAUGAGGAAACUGAGUCCAGAUCCACCUCUGCAUCUCCUCCUACUCUCACCAGGCCAGAUGCCAGGCUCCAGCCCGGGCACUGCAGGGGCAGCGUCCGCGACCCAGCUUAGUUUCAAGUAAAGAACUGCUGUAAUUGACUAAAUGCCUCCUUUCCUGAAAGUGACUUUAUGAAGAUGAGUAAAGAGGAAACACAGCACCUGAAUCAACAUUGUGCAAACUUAAAUUAUACACUUUCCACUUGUGUGCAAUGUAUUUGGAGGAGUUUCUGUUUUUCAUGAACACGAAGCAAUCUCUUUUGACUUUGGUUACUAGGCAUCUGUAAAAUUGAGGACAUGGGGUUGCAUUCAUAUUAUUUCAAUGUACACUGAACACCAGGCCAAAAAAAAAGGAAUAAAACGAG
Molecule: long non-coding RNA, 3384 nt
Organism: Equus caballus (horse)
Lineage: Eukaryota; Metazoa; Chordata; Mammalia; Perissodactyla; Equidae
Source: Ensembl